CUACACGCAUGUCAUCUAAGCCCAGCCUGUCUAGGGUCCCCUCUGUGUCUCUCAGUGAUGGUGCAGCAGAGUCAGUCUCUAUGGAAGUCAUCUCUAAUGUGGAGGAUAUUUAUACAGCACCAUCAGUGGAGCAGAUUGUGUCUUCAACUGCUGCUGUGGUCGGCAUUUCACCAGCAGCGUCUGCUAGAUGUUCCUCAAAUGACAUGUCUGGAAGAACUUGUUUCGAAGCAGCAGUAGUGGGAGCAGAGAUACCAGAGAAACACACCUCUCCAAAAGUUUCUCCACAGACAUCUUUAAUGUCAGGUAAAGUAAUUCAUGAUUUAUUAAAUACAUUAAGAUUGCUGCGUUAAUAAGGUCCAUAUCACCUUUUCGGUAAAAGUGGGAAGUUUAAAAUAUUGUUCUAAUUUUUACUUUGUCGCCCCAUCUCUAGCUCAUGUUGGUGAAUCUAUGAGAGGUACAGACAUUUCACCUAAAUCUAGUCUGGACAGGAUUUCCUCUAUUGGUGAAAGAGCAGCAGAAUCAGCUUCUAGAGAAGUGAUGUAUAUGGAGGAGAUGUAUAAAGCAUCAAUGGCAGAACUACCAGGGCCUCCAGCUGCUGUUGGAGGUAUUUCACAAACAGUGUCUGCUAGAUGUUCACAAGGUGACAUGGCAGAAAGAGCCCCCUCUGAAACAGUAGUAGGGAGAGACACAUCUUCCAGAGUUUCUCCUAGGGUUUCUCCACAAACAUCUGUGAGCUCAGCUACAGGCUUGUCAUCUAAGUUCAGUCUUGCCAGGGUUCCCUCUGUGUCUCUCAGGGAUGGUGCAACCGAACCAGCUCAGAUAGACAACGAAACACUGUCAAUGGAGGAGCUUAUGACGUCUCCAUUGUAUUCUCAUUGGUCACCAGCCGGUUCUGAAAGUGACUUAUUAGGCUUAAAAGGAGCUCCCUCUGAAACAGCAGUGGAUGGAGCACACAGAGGGUUCUUGGUAACGAUACCCAGUAGAGAGGAGAGUGUGAUGAGAACAGCAGAGACACCAGAGAGAGACACAUCUCCCAGUGUUUCUCCACAGACUUCGUUUACAGGUGUUGUUUCUGAUGUGACAGUUUUCUACAGAGAUUCAUCUGUGGGAGAAUUGCAUCUUUCUCCAUCUGUUGGUGAGGAACUUGUGGUGGAGGCUUACGAAUUACCAUCACUGGAGAAGAAGGAGACUCCAUCUACUUCAGUUGGUAGACUUUCACCAGUAGUGUCUGCAAGAUAUACUGGAAGUGGUUUAACAAGAAGAGCUUUCUCUGAAAAAGAAGUAACGAGACCAGAGACACCAGAUAGACACAUGUCUCCCAGACUUUCUCCUAGAGUUUCUCCACAGUCCAGUCUGACCAGGAUUUCCUCUGCACCAACAAUGGAGGAGCCACGGAUGUCUCCAACUGCUUCUGUUGGUAGACUUUCACCAGCAGUGUCUUCUGUAAGAUAUUCCGGAAGGGGUUUAUCAGGAAGACCUUUCUCUGAAACAGAACUAGUGGAUGCAGCACACAGAGUGUCCUCAGUCAGGAUACCCAGUAGAGAGGAGAGUGUGAGGAGAACAGCAGAGACACCAGAGAGACACACAUCUCCCAGAGUGUUUCCUAGAUCUUCGCAAAGAGUUUCUCCACAAACCUCUCUCAUAUCAGGUACAAUUGUCAUCCAUACUCUGUAG
This is a long non-coding RNA of Salmo trutta (river trout), 1674 nucleotides long. Ensembl annotates it as mucin-12-like. Lineage: Eukaryota; Metazoa; Chordata; Actinopteri; Salmoniformes; Salmonidae. The record is from Ensembl.